UACGAAGGGGGCUAGCGUUGCUCGGAAUCACUGGGCGUAAAGCGCACGUAGGCGGACUCUUAAGUCGGUGGUGAAAUCCUGGAGCUCAACUCCAGAACUGCCUUCGAUGCUGAGAGUCUCAGAGUCCGGGAGAGGUGAGUGGAACUCCGAGUGUAGAGGUGAAAUUCGUAGAUAUUCGGAAGAACACCAGUGGCGAAGGCGGCUCACUGGCCCGGUACUGACGCUGAGGUGCGAAAGCGUGGGGAGCAAACAGG
Molecule: ribosomal RNA, 254 nt
Filed under: uncultured bacterium
Lineage: Bacteria
Description: partial 16S ribosomal RNA
Rfam family: Bacterial small subunit ribosomal RNA
Source: RNAcentral